UGGUUGUUGAGUUGGACCUAGGAAAUCCUAAAAACAUUAUCAUUACUUUGUGUCUUGUUUACUGCAUUCUGAGGUUACUUCAGAUGGUGUCAAAAUUUAAAGCCCGUUGGCUUUCAACUUCAUUUCUUAAUUUGUCUAGGCUGGAAAUAUAAUCCAUAUCUUGGUUUUUGGCUUUACAAUUGCAUUUGGAUAGCUUUGUUUAGAGUUAGGCUUUCAACUUAGGGGUAUUUAGGGUUUGGUCACCUUAAGUAUAUACUAUUUAGGGAAAAGACACUUAUGUUCUAUUAAUUAGGCUUUAGUCACGAACCGGUAACUGAACCAGAUAAUAUUUUGGAAUGGCCGAAAUACCCUUACUUAACAAACAUGUGCAUAACACGUGACUUAUCAUUGAUUUGUAUGUAGAUACACGUUGGUACAUUUGGGCAACUUGAUUUGCCUUGAUUCAAUCUAACAAACUACGAAGAUCUCGAGGCGACUCAAGCACUUCUACCCUCCAAACACAAACAUCCUUUGUAAGAGUGAACAAAAUAUAAUGGUGUUCUUCAUACUUCAUAGCAACCACCAGAUCCCGUCAUCUUUCUUUUUGUUGUCUUAAUUUCAUCCUCAUCUAAUCUUCACAAUUUUUACUAUUCAUACAUUAACAAACUCUGCUAUGAUCUUUUAUUCUUCUUCCACUCCCACUCUCUCAAAGCAACACCAAAAACUCUUUAAUAUCCUCAAAAUUUUCUUUUAAAACACUAAAUUAACAUUCCCUUCAAACCCACAUUCAAAAAACACCAAAUCAAUCACUAAAUUGAAACUAUUUUCAUUCAUUCAAUAUAAUCAACGAAUUGGUUGCCGGAAUAAAUGUUUGUUUUGGGUAAUUGUUUCUCAAAACUCUUCUAAUUGAUGUUGAACAAACCAAUAUUGAGAUUGGGUAUUCUACUGUGAAAUUUUAUCUCUAAGAGAGAGGUGGUGGACGGUGGUGAUAUGGUGGACAGUGGUGGUAGAGAGGGGUGAUCGGCGAUGGUGCAAGAGAAAGAUGGUGAUGGGCGGUGGUGAUGUGGUGGACAGGUUGUUGUAGAACUUGUAGAAGAGAUGUGUGUGUGUGUAUGUGUGUGAGAGAGAGAGAGAGAGAUCUGGUGGUUGGUGGUGGGUGGUUGUGGUGGUGGUGUGGCACAAGAUGAAUAAUAAGAUGAAGUGUUGUAUUAUUGUAUAUUUUGUGUUUUGUUUAAUUUUAAGUUACACUCUGCAGCACACGUGAUUUUCAGGGGUAUUCUAGCUAUUUGAAUGAAUAUUUCGGUUAAACCCGGUUUUUGUUUAACUCAAACCAAACCAAAUGUCCAAAACCUAAUUAAUAGAACAUAAGUGUUUUUUCCCUAAAUAGCAUAUACUUAAGAUGACCAAACCCUAAAUACCCCUUCAACUUAUGUAGCCUGUUUUUGGUUUUUAGUGAUACACUACUGUAUAUAUGCCCAUGUCAUCACAGGUAUUGAAUUUAGAGCUACUUUUGUAGAUUCAUUUAAGCAAUGCAUUUAUUCGUGAGAAAAUUUGUGUUUCGUCACCACUUUUUUGGGGUAAAUUUGCUUAGUGUCACUAUUUUAUUUUUUAUUUGCAUUUCGUCAUCAUUUCGUCCCAGCUUCAUCAAUUCUAACAGUUAACUCAAUUUUGACCUGGUCAAACUGUUAUCACACAACAGACUUAGGUUUUUUUUUCUCUCUUUUCUCUUCGUUGUUGUUGUUCUUCGUUUCGUUGUUCUUUGAUUUCUUAAUUAAUUGAAGCUCGAUCUCAGUCAACGUAUAUUUGAAUCAGUCAACUAAUGGUUGACUUGGUCAACUAACAAGGCUGAGACGAAAUGGUGACUAAAUGCAAAUAAAAAAUAAAGUGGUGACGUUGUGCAAAUAUACCCCCAAAAGUGGUGACGUGUGUCCAAAAAUCUCUUUAUUCAUUUGUCAUUUUUAAAUUUUAAGCAGUUUGAAUUUCGUUGUACAAGUGCCCCAUAACAGGCACAUUUGUGGUUCUAGCCAUGGAUGGUUUAUGGUUAGCAACAGCUGAUCCUGAUAAUUAUGAAGUUCGAAUAAGUAGUCUAGUAAAUCCUUAGCUUAUUGCCCAUCCGGGAGGAGAUCCAACCCCCCCUUUAACACAUAGGGAUAUUGUAAACAAGGUGUUGUUUUAUCCGCAAAUUUAUACUACUUUAUAAACCUGAAUAAAAUUCAGGGGUAAGUCUCGGUUAAUGAGAAUUGAGUUUUAGAGUUUUAAAAUAUUCUUUUAGUUAAGGUUUUUUAGUAAAUUUACAUAAUACCCUUUAAAUAAUAGUUUUAUCGUAAUUUAACAUAUUUAUGGGUUAGAUUUUUAUUUAUAAACAAAAGGUCCAAUAAUUAAAAAAAUAUUAAAUUAAAAAAAUAUAAUAAACUCCUAUAAAAUAUUAAGAAAAACUACCUAAAUUUAUUUCAGUAAUUAUUUCAUAAAAUUUAAUAAAUUUGUGUAAUUUAUAAUAUUUAAUAAAAUUAAUAACUUAAAAUUUGAAUGGUAAUAAAAAUGGAUAAAUUAAAAUUAACCGGUGCAAGACACUAGUCCAGUAUCAAACCCCAAUAUUAUGCAGCUAGGGCAGCCGUGAUUAAGAAAAAAACGUGGUGUUAAAUAGCAGCUGUCAGCUGGAGUCGGGUAUAAUUAUCAUGCGAGUCAAUGGACUGAAAGCCCAUUUUUAUAGGCUUUUUGUAAAUAGUCCAAAUAAAGUAAGUCCAAACUGCAAGAACAAAAUAAUAUUCCGAUCGGCAACCAACGAUUUCUUUCUCCCUUCUUCUUCUUCACUUGAGAUCAAUUUUCAGAAGUAAGCUUUUUCUCUCUCUUUUUGGUGUUUUUUUAUUUCUUUUUCAAUUGUGUUCUUGAUGCAAGGUUAUGUAUUAAACAAAUUUCAUACAAAUUUAAAGAAUAAGUAUACUAAAAACAAUAUCAUUUAAACUACAACGAGAUUAGGAUUUAAGAUUUUGUUAAUACCUAAUUGAUUUUAUUUUUUCAUUGAUUAAUUCAGUAUGAUAUUGCUUCAAUAGUUUAUACAUGAAAUACUAUUUUCAUCUUCAACGUUUUUCUAACAAUUAUUUAGAAACUACUUCUACAUAUGUAAACGAAAUUGAUAUCUUCACUAUUACCAUGAUGAUAUGUAUUUUGUAUUAUAUGUACCACUUCUGUAUUCUUUCAGAGCACUUGCCCAAGCGCAUUAUUUGUGUUCUUUGAACGAAAAUAUACCAUAGAAAUAGAUAAUGUUAUAGGCUUGAGGAGAAAAAGCUACUUGAUGUGAAAUUAAGUCUUGAUGAGUGGUUGAGGGAUAAUGUGGGGUUUAGGAAUUCAAAUUUAGAGCAUUUAGGAAACACUUGUUUUGGCCUCAAAGGUUGGAGGCUUGUGAAUAACUAAUCUUUCACUCUGCUAAGGAAUUCUCUUCUAUGGCCUGCUUUUUCCGUGUGGUCGCUUUAUAAACUUGUGUGAUGCAAUGGAAAAUAUCUUAUCGUAGCAUAUUGGCUCUGGUUGAGUACUAAGUUUUUUCGUUGUUUUCUUACCUAACACAGGAUUUAGCUUGACCACAAUAUGUUAAGCAUAUAUAUUCGUUUGUUAUUCAGAUUGUUGUUUGUUAUUGUGUUUGUGUGAUGCAGAGCCCAUUUGUGUUGCAAUAUUGAUGGUAUCAACUUGAUCAAGGCAUCAUAGUACUGAUUAUGCUGGCCACAUAUUGAAUCAAAAUGGUUUGUAUACCCUGGACUUUGUUCUUGCUGACCUUUUUCUACAUUCUCACUGUAAAAUGUUUGUGUGCAUUGAGAAAAUGACAUCUAUAUAUCAUGAUCAUGAUCAUCCAUCAUUAUUCAACUCUGACAAGAUAUGUAGCAGCUCUUGUGAUAUUAUUAUUUAAGCAUUAAGAACAAUAGAAUGAAACAUUGUAGGGUUGAUUUUUUUUCCAGCAAUGAUUCACUCAAAUAUUUCUUUCGUAGCAGUGGUAAUGUCUGUGACUUUGAAAAUUUAUCUGUUUAUGGUGGGCUUAGCAUGGAAAUAUAAGCUACAACAUAGAGAGUCCCUUUUAAGGCAUCUGGAAAUGGUGAUAUUGUUUUAGCCUUGUAGGCUAUAGAAGAAAUACUGCUGUCUCUGCACACUUAUUGUGGGAAACAUAAAAAUUAUAGCCUAUCUUUACCUGUUGACAGCAUAUUGAACCUCUGCAGCUAUCCAUUUCAUUGUUUUCAAAGCUACAUUAAGUGAGCAUGGUAGAUUAUUAUUUUUUUCUCUCCCAUUUGAGUAGUGAUUAAUUCUAGACUAUUAUAAUAUACAAUCUCUCCCAAACAGAAUAAAUUUGUAUUCCCCUGCGUUUGAUGGUAAUACAUGUUCCACUUGGAUCAGGGGGUUUCCAUGUUGAUUACUUGAAUGCUUUUGGGCAGUAGUAAAAAAGGAUAAGAAAGAGACAGAUAGGAGGGGGAGAGGUUUGAUGUAAGAAUAAGAUUGGCAAUACACCAGACCAUGAUGUUGUUCCUAGAAAAGAAUCAAUGAUACGCAUUUUGAUGAAGACUUCUACACAGGGAAAGUUGAUUUAUGCUUAUUUCCAGGUCCAGUUGGUGUAUAAAGAGCUGUUUCAUGAUGGUAGACACUAGCAUUUUUACUUGAAUAGCAGAAUAUUAAAGAUUUGGGCUUAGUGUCUAGCUCCUCCAUUUUGAGCAAUCUUUUUUUACCUGGGGUUGAUAUCCCAUGAAAAACAACAUUCUUACCUACAUAUCCCUUCAAAUAUUUAGUGAUACAUAUCUCAAGGUUUUAGUUGUCCUGGUAUGUUUAGAUGACAAUCUCUCAUUUGGCCAUUCUGAUGAUUAGAAUUACUCGCCUAAAUAUGAGCUCUUUCACAUCAAAUUUAAGCUUGCGUAGAAUGAGACCCUAACUUAAUGAUGAUAUAAAAAACAAAUGCUAAACGGCAGAAAUCUGGUACUCAAAUGCGAGAAUGUUGAUUCGGCUCAUGGAUUGGACGAGAUUAACAAGAAUAGAGUCUAGAACUAUACAGAUUGUUAGAUGCUACACUGUUGCACUUACACCAGAGUUGAAGUUAGUGAAUACUUAUACUUGAACCUUAUUGGACAUCGCCCUUGCCCCUCAAACAAAAUAAAGAAAAAGGAAUGAGAACUUGUUUAGGUCUCCAUCUCAUAAGAAGGGAUUUGUCUCUAUACCGACUCAACUGCUCAAAUUCUCUAUAUUCGGUAUCCUUCUAAAAUGAAACCUACGCUGAGGCUUUACUCAACAUUUUAGCCCUUCCCAAGAUUGUGUGGCACCAGCCAUUGCCACUCAUGAUAUUCUCCUUUGUCAACAUGCUGGGACUUGGAUAUAUGUAUGUUCAGUUAAGCCAACCUUAUGAGUUUUAUCUAAAGUUCUCGUUGUAGUGCUUCUUUUGUUAUUAUUUUAUCAUCAUCAUCAUCAUCAUUAUUAUUAUUAUUAUUAUUACUGUCCACUCUGUAUCUCUCCCGUAUUUUUGUCAUAUCCCAAAGUUGCCGAUUAUCUGCCAUACAAGUGCCUGGUAUGACACGAUAUAUCACUAAUAAUUAGAUUAGUAAUAUGGAGGAUAUCAUUUUUGCCUGCAUACACAGGGGAUCCUUUUAAAUUUUUUCAUUAGGAAAUAGUUCAAAAUACAAUGUGGUGCCAUCAGCAUUUCAUGCAUACAAACUCUUACCUUCAUCUGCUUGACAUAAAAAGAUAAUGCUGCAGGCAAUGUAUAUUCGCGUUAAACGCGACAGGACCACCUACUUUGUGCAGUGCGAUCCAACUGAGACGAUUCUGGAUAUUAAGCAAAAAUUGCACGGACUCAUUGAUCAACCUGUUACUGAUCAACGCCUAAUCCUAGUAUCAUCUGGAGAAGUAUUGGAUGAUUCAAAGACCAUGGCAGAUCAAAAGGUAUUAAUCUAAUCAAUUUGUCUUUACAUUUUUUUCUGAAGCCAUAUAUCCUAAACCCUAAAUGGUUCAUGUUUGACACAACUAUAUAACCAAAUGGUAUCCUUCGACUUGACACAUGCCUUACCGUUGUUUCUCUACAGGUUGAAAAUGAUGCAGUUGUGGCACUGACUUUGAGAAAAGGUUUGUUUCUUAUCUUAUCUCCUUUUUUGUGCAAUAUACUGAUAGAAGAAUCAAAGUCCUAUAUAGUUCUACGUGCUAGUAACAUUUUCACAUCUAUACAUUAAUUUGAACGAUACAACUAAAGAGUGUGCGGCUGUAGAUAUCAUUCUGCAGUUAGAACUUUAUUUACCUUCGAGAUUUCCCAUCUGGAAUUGUGACAUGAUGAAUGAUACAGGUGUAUCCUACUUGGGAACUUAGUAGGUCUUUUCCUUGUCCUACAAGGAAAAGAAAACCUUAAAUAGGUUUCCUUGUUCUAUAAGGGAGGGAAUUUUAGGAAAAAAAGAAAUUCUUGGCCAACUAGAAGUUGUCCGAGGCCUAUAAAUAUAUGUUUUGGCAUAAACCAAAAUAUAUAGAGAGAAACAUGUAGUCUUUACUUGUUUCAAGAGAAACCACUAAGGUUUAGUGGUUUAGUGAUGUUUUGGCAUAAACCAAAACAUAGACCAAACAUAGCUUAUUUUAGCUUGUUUAAAGAAACAACUUAUUUAGUUGUUUAGAUAAACCACUAAGGUUUAGUGUGUUUAUAAGAGAGGCAGCUAGGGCUUAGCUUGUCUAGAGAGUAUUGUGAGGGAGAGAUUCUUGUAAUCUUCAUAAUAUUCAGUAAAGAAGAUAGUUUUCUUCGAGAUCUUGUGUUUUGUUUAUCUUUAUUUAUUGCUAUUGUUUAAUUCCGCACUCAAUAGUACCUUUACCUAGUAAUUUGUAUCAAGUUGGUAUCAGAGCAAAGUUCGAUUCCCUGGUGGAGUUUUCUGUGGUUUAUGGUCUUAACUCGUUCGCAAUACAGAAAGCUAGGUAAAGUUCUUGUGUCUUUAGAAGAUUCUAAGAAGACAAGGAAAAAGAAGAUGACGGAAACAGAUCUGAAGAAAUCAAAGGAGGUGGAGACAUCUACUUUGCAGUAGAAAGCCAACCCGAAGCAGAAGCAGAAAAGUUUGUUUUCUAAUCAAGAAGAUGAUGAUGGUGAUCGAGAGGAGCCAUUCAAGGAAGAUUGCAUGUUGGAGCGCAAGAUGACUAAGACACGAAGUAGGAAACAAACAGUGUUUCGUAUUGGGCGUGCAAGUCAAGUUCCAAGCAAAGUUGGAUGGUUCAGCAAAGUCCACGGAGCUCUUGAAUUCUCCCAUCUCUGUUUCUAGCUUAAACGGGAGUUUAAGUUCCUAAAGGGGGGAGCCAUGAUACAAGUGUAUCCUACUUGGGAACUUAGUAGGUCUUUUCCUUGUCCUACAAGGAAAAGAAAACCUUAAAUAGGUUUCCUUGUUCUAUAAGGGAGGGAAUUUUAGGAAAAAAAGAAAUUCUUGGCCAACUAGAAGUUGUCCGAGGCCUAUAAAUAUAUGUUUUGGCAUAAACCAAAAUAUAUAGAGAGAAACAUAUAGUCUUUACUUGUUUCAAGAGAAACCACUAAGGUUUAGUGGUUUAGUGAUGUUUUGGCAUAAACCAAAACAUAGACCAAACAUAGCUUAUUUUAGCUUGUUUAAAGAAACAACUUAUUUAGUUGUUUAGAUAAACCACUAAGGUUUAGUGUGUUUAUAAGAGAGGCAGCUAUGGCUUAGCUUGUCUAGAGAGUAUUGUGAGGGAGAGAUUCUUGUAAUUUUCAUAAUAUUCAGUAAAGAAGAUAGUUUUCUUCGAGAUCUUGUGUUUUGUUUAUCUUUAUUUAUUGCUAUUGUUUAAUUCCGCACUCAAUAGUACCUUUACCUAAUAAUUUGUAUCAAUGGAUGGUCAUGCAUAUCUGUGUGUUGAAAUGUCAAUCCAUUGUUGACAACCAAUGGUUGCAUUUCUGGUUUAGGAGAAAACAGGCUUAUCCAUUUUUGGGAAUCAUUAUCAGGACUUUGUGUUAUUAGGAUGAGCUUGUGAGUUGAGAGUAUUUGGGAUGCAUAUGUAAUGGAUGUUUAUUUUCUCUGUGUAUUUGUGGUAUGAUUAAAGUCUUGCUAAAGAAGCCACUGCUGCACCGAGGCUGUAAUUUCUUCCAUUAUCAAUGAUAUAAGUAUAUAACUCUUACUAUAUAACAAAAUAUGCGAAAACCUUUUGUAAGCACUGGCAUGUUAGGGACUAAACCAAAGGAGUCAAGAAUUUUUUAAUCCAAUACGCUUAAAAGUUAUUUUUUGCCUAAGUUAUCCAUUCAGAAUCUGUCAUUUGUGAAGAAUUUUUUUUUCCCUACUUCAAUCCGUCAAUGGGUUAACUUUUUGAUGUAUGAAUGAUCUUUUUAAGAUUCUUCAACAAGCCAUCGACACAACUAGAAUCUAUAGGGGAAGCUGUCAUUUGUAGGCUGAUCUCUCCCCUUUGUCAGCAAAGGAAUAAUGGCUGGUCCAACGUUGUGCUGUAGUGUCUGUUUGGAAGCAACAUGACAUUCGGAUCAUUAAGCAAGAAGGAAAUGAUUAGCUACAAUGAUAGGUAACAUUAGUGUGAGUCUUUUUUGCUCUGCCAUGGGAACACUUUUGUUAAAAUCAUAGAGGUAUUAAGUUUCAUAUUUAAUGUCCUUUUGCCUUUCCAAGGGAGUAUUGCUUUGUGACUUCUGUGAUGGCAGCUGAUAAGUGGGAUGUGCUAGAUACUACCUCCAAUACAAGGUUCAUCUGAAGCCCAGACCCAUAAAGGAUUUAGCCUUGUAUAUCAGUUGUUCCAAAGUAGCAAAUUAGUCUUCCGUGAUCCUGUGGUUCCUCUUCUCCCACAGUGUGGUUUGUUGUUAGCUUGGGACUCUAUUGAUCUUUAGGAAUGAGUGGUGUUAUAGAAGAGGGUUUUAUACCCAUGCGAAAGUUUGUGCAGGUUUUUUUCUAAUUGGUAACAUGUAAACUUUUGUUUUUCCUUCAGAUGAUAAGGAGUUUGAGGAUGUCAGCAUUUUACAGCCCGAUGAUGAUUUCUACCAUUCUCGUGAUGGAGAUGGUGCGAGUUGGUAAGCUUGAUUUUUGUUUUAGCUGAAUGAGUUGAAUCGCUUGAGAGUAGUAUAGAAACAUAGAUGUUAUCGAUCCACCUUUAUAUGCUUUAACAUUUUCUCUUUAUGCCCCAUAGAGGGUGUUUCUUCCAUUCAGGUUCGGAUGUGACAAAAUUCAAGUUGGAUGCAAAUGUAUAUCAUUAGUUAUUUGUGGUCAUGCUGCUGAAUUCGGCAACAUAAACAUUGAUAAGCAUAGGUUGUAUCUCGUGUUACCAUUUGGCUGAUAUUUGUUGAUGUAUAUCAUUAGUUAUUUUGGCCCAUAUUUAUGGGGCACAUUGAUUGGCUUCUGUGUUUAUUAUUCUAGGGGUAGCACAGGUGGGUUCAGGUAGAGCCCAAGAGUCUCAAAACACAAUUUGAGAACAUAUAGCUAGUAAUUCACAACAUUCAAGCUUACAUGUGAUUUUAGAUGCAGAUUGACAUAAAGCAGCACAAUAUGAUAUUGCUUGUACAGUUGUACCAUAUAGUUAUAACAAACUCAAAAGAGAGUUCUGCAGUGGUGCUACCCUUGUAUCCUUGAGAAUGCCCCAAAACUUUGUUCUUGCUGGAAGUCUUAAAAUACCUGUGGCUCACCUAGUCAUGGCAUUGGGUUACGAAGCCAUUGAUAUUUUGUUGUUGGGGAAACAAUCCUGAAAGUGAGACAGGUCUCUUUUAAACAGUGACUGACAUCCUUGAGUGUUGGAAUUUGCACAAACAAACAUAGAUCUCCUUGUAGCAUUUUCUAAUGUUCUGCAAAGAAGAGGAUUGUAUCCUGACAUCUAGUUGUUGUGUACUUGUGUGUUAUGUAGCAGACAUCGAACUGGCUUUCUCACAGAAUUUAGCUCAAGUCUUGGCUUAGUGCAUAUGAGUGAUGUCCUGAGCUAAUAUUUUGAUGCACUCUCCCUGGUACAAUACUUCCUCUACGUUGUGUGAAUAGUUUGGAGCCUUGAAAAGAAACUGCCUAGGAGAGAGAGAUUCCAUCAUCCUUAUUGUGAAUGAAGAAGAAACCCCUCACAAGGGUCCCUCAUAAAGUUAGACAAUAAUUUCACCAUAAAAAUUAGACAUUAUGGAGGUGUUUGUUUCCCUUAUCAUGGUCUUGUAGGACUUUUAAAGCCUUUUUUUUAUUAAAAUAAUUGUUCAUUUUUCAGCAAAAAUCUGCAAGAAGUCCUAAACUCAAUUAUAGUUAGUUUGUAGUUUUGCACCUAAAUACUUUGAAUGUAGAUUACAUCUAGAAAUUACCUGUCAAAUUGCAUCAUUUUGUGUUUAUUCCUUUUGGGUUUCUCACGAGGCACACAACCAGUAUAGAGAAAUGUUUAAUCCAUCUUUACACAUUGCCAGAUGAAAACGGAGGCUAAUAAUCGGGUUUCCGGGAGCUCCCUGGCUAAUUCUCAUACAACCAAUUUCAGCGAAUCUCAUACCCUGGAUAAUCCAUUUUAACAGUCUUAAGUCCUUUGUAGUCCAUUCCAAUCUCAAUAUAGUUGUACACUAAAGGGACAGAGUGCGCAAACCAAUUAGCCGAGGUAUAAGGAGAUGUCCAUGGGAUUUUCAAAACAUUAUUUGCAUUACCUAUAGGAAUAAUCUCAUUCGCUUGACUUUCAAUACAACUCCAAGCAAAAAUUGGGUGUUUUCUCUGAACUGUAGCUACAUCCAGAUGUGAUGGGAUACCAAGCAAAGGUACCAUCAUAGUUUUAAGAACUUAACUAAAAUACGUAAUGAGCUAAUAUUCUUUCUCCAAGCUUCAAGAGUUCAACAUCUUCCAGUUUAUGGUUCCAUGUUGAAUUAUAAAGAUAGGUCCAUCUUCAAAUACAUAUAGGAGAUUCCUCAAUAAUCUGUCGUCUAUCACUUUCAUUAGCAAAGCUAAAGUAAGAACAGCUCAGUAUUGGAGGCUUUCGGGUACUCAAUAUUCUUCCAUAAUUUCUCAAGAGUGUUCUUGACAGUAGGAAAUGUAGUCUAUCCUUCAUAAAGCAACCAACCAGUUGCCGGUCGGAGUCUGUAAUUUCAGGAAUUCCGAUAACAGUGGUAAUUUCUUUCCACAGCAAGAAAAAUUAGUUGGUUAUAUUCUUCAAAUGAGUGUUCCAAAUAUUAGAUUCACCGAAAAAAUUACAAACCUCAGUCUCUCGAACAACAGUACACAGUAAGUAAUUGAGAAAAUACAGCACAAGAGAGAUGGGGGAAGAGCAGCAGCUUGGCCAACCAUAAGUAAAAUUUUCAUGAGGAACCUUCUACAAUAAAGUAAAGUUCCAAAUCCAUAAUCAACAAACAGAGGCUAUUAACAUCUAUCAGUCUAAACAUAUGUACGAAAAUGAAACGUAACUGGUUAAGUGAGACAUACUUCUGAAAGGAUUUAUACCUUUUCAUUGGCAAAAAGCAGUUUCACCAAAAUAUUCUAUAGAAAACAUUGUGAUAUAUGUGGAGCACAAAAUAAAGUAAUAAACCAUGGACUGGGGACUGAAAUUUAGCCAGUGAAACCACCUCCCUAAGAGGCAAAAAUAAAUAUUGAAAUUUGUGAAGACAAACCACCUUCCUAGAUCGCAAACUGAUUCAGUUAAUGUGUUUUACCAAAAAAAACUGAUUCAGUUAAUGUGGUAUCUUUCCUACGGAAGACAAACCUCCUUCGCAAGCAAACUUCAUGAUGAGAAGAAUUCGGGAUAUGAUUGAACAGCUGCAAGCCCUCCCAAUUAAGCACAUAUAUAGUCAUACAGAGAAUCCAAUAAGCUCGCAGAUGCUUUAGUAUGCAAUGUAUUGAUUUUGUUCCUAGCUCGUUUCCUGAAGAUGCAAAGAAGAUGAUUAUGAAGAUAGCAUAGGCAAGUCAAAUGUCAGAAUGUAACCAAACCUAAGUUUUAUAUAUGAAACAACGUAGGGACCCCUGCAACAACAACGCUUGCCAAUCAAAUAAAUAAAUAAAUAAUUUUUUCAAAAAAAAAGAGAUAUGAAUGAUGGUUGGAGAGCCAUUAGUUCAUUUACAGUCGAGGAGAAUUUCAGUAGGCUAAUCUCAUGGGAACAACAUCAUCACUUCAAGACAGCAAUUGAUGAAAGUAAAUGUUACAAAUAAAAUGGCAGAGGCUAAUCUGCUAUAUCAGAACUUUGAAAUAGAUACUGGAGAUUCAAUAUAUGCUUAAGCAAGUUUACAAGAGGUAAGAGGUAAUCAUCUGACAAAUGUAUAAGUCUCACAAUACUUUCAUCGGUCCAAUUCCCUAUCACCCCACAAUUGUUCUCCCGCACAUUCCCUGCAAAAUCUAUACAACUUGGUACUGUUAUGUGGAUCAGCAACUACCUCUACUGGCUUGGAAAACUGACCAUACGAGUCCAUUCCCAAAGACCUUCACUGGCUUCCAGGUCACAACUCACACUAGCAGGUACAGUGUUCAAACAUUUUUAAGAAGAGUUUACUCACAGGUUUUCUAAUAUACUAAAUUUUUUUUCUUAUGUUCGUUGCUGAAGUAUGUUGUAUAUAUAUAUAUAUAUAUAUAUAUAUAUAUAUAUAUAUAUCUUUUCAUAAAAGGAAGCAAUUCCUAGAGAGAGGGAAGAAUCGUGUGUGUAUAGUAUAUAAAAGUACUAUUAGACCUUCCACAAUCCUCAGACCACUUGGUCAAGAAUUCAAAAUGAAAUGCAUCUCUUUUUAGUCUAAUUGACUCUCAACCUAACAAAUUUGGAUGUCAAGUGUUAAUUAAAUGGUCAAUGUAUCAACAUUCGUGAGAAAGAAAAAUAUCCUCACACCUCUCAACAAAAAAUUCUCAUUAUUUUAAAUGUGAACAUGUAUUGUUAUAUGCACAGAGGAUGGGUGACAUGGUACGCCUGCCAAGUGUAUGAUUCAUUACAAGAUAAAAUAGACAAUCUAAGUGCCAUACACGUCAAUAUUUAGUUUCUUAUGUUUGUACAUUAAUACAUCAAAGUUUUGAGAUAAAAUCAUCACAAAUUCAAAUUUUGAAAUAUUGCCAUGCAUCACAGAUUCACAUUUUGAAAUAUUGCUUGGUGGAAACACAGAAAGGACAAAACAUUAUGUGUGUGUACCUUUAUUCAUGGUUGGAGGGUAAACCACAAACCACAGCCAGUCAUCACUAUUCAUAACAAGGAGUGGGUGGUGGAAUUGUCACCAUUGGUAGAUUCUUACCUUUGAUAUGUUUUCCGUAUAACUCAUGUCUAUGAUCUUUCCAGAGCUCUUAACACGUUCCCAGAAGAACUUAGCUAAGAAAAUCUUGGCAAUUAAAAACUCUUACACAUAGUGUUCCUUUAAAACAAAAUGCCAAAUCUAGAACAAAUUUUUUUAGAACAUUAUCAAAAUACACCAAAUAAUAUGGACAAAGGCUCGGAAAAACCAUAGAUACAAUUUGCAUAAUAAUCAUAUCAAGGGUAAGAAUCUACUAGCAGUAACAAUUACACCAUCCAUUUGUGUUGUGAAUAGGGAGGAUUACUUUACUUUGCGGAUUACACUUUCUCUAAUGAAGGUAUGCACAAAAUCUUUUUCUUCCAUUUUUGCACUAAGCAAAAUUUAAAUAUAUGAGUCUAUAAUGAGUUUUUUUACUAAAUGUUGAUGUAUUAAACUACAAAAAAAAAAAAAAUUUAAACAUUAAUAUAGAACUGUGACAUGGUGGGGACCGACGUUAGGAAGAGAUUUUGAAAAAGGAAAGGAAACGGACAGACAAAAAAUAAAACAACGAAAAGGAGGGGACAAACACGAGUUUAAGUCUCACCCGACUCUAAAUGGACCUCCUAACGUUGGUCGAUCGACGUUAGGAGAUCCAUCUAGAGUCGGGUGGGACUUAAACUUGUGAUUGUCCCCUCCUUUUCGUUUUCUAUAUUUUGUCUACCAGUCUCCUUUCCUUUUUCAAAAUCUCUAUUUUUUGUAUGUCCAUCUCCUUUCCUUUUUCAAAACCUCUUCCUAACGUCGGUCCCUACCGUGUCACGGAUCUAUAUUUAUGCUAGAAUAUCUUUUAAGAAGAAGUAUUAUCAUGAUACAUAGCUAAUUAGUUACAAAAUGGAAACAAAGCCAAUCGGUUUAAACUAAAAUGAUAAUCAUGAAACAAUGAGAAUGUCUAAAAUGAUGAUUGAGUCAAGCAAAAGAAACAAAGCUAAUUGGUUUAAAUUUUAAACUAAAAUGAUAAUCAUGAAACAAUGAGAAUGUCUAAAAUCCCUAAAUCAGUUGUGUUUUAGUGAGACUUGCCGACAUCCAUUUCCAUCUUUGUCCAAAAAGGGCUUAGUAAUGCAAAAUGAUAUUGAGUCAAGCAUAAAUGACUACUUUUACCUAUCCAGUAAGUCGAGUUUUUAAAAUUAAAUUCAAAUUGAAAAUUCCUUAAAACAUGUAGAAGCAACUUAUACUCAUUACAAUAACACUUUUUUUUUUUUUGAGAGAGAGAGAGGUAAACAAGCAUAUUAUACUGUUCUUAUUUGCUUUGUUUACUAGUUGUAUACUUCUAUUUACUACAACAAAUAAUCUGUUAAGAGACGGUUGGCUACCCUAUUCAUUGGUUCGAAUUCCCUCCGGCUUAGGUGGAUCCCUCUCACCCAACUAUUGUCCGACCACGCAUUCCCCACAAGAUCAAUUCGUGGACCUGGUAAUAUCCUUUAGGUCAACACCUACCUCUACUGUAUUGGAAACUAACCAUACGAUGAUACGAGUCCAUUGCCAACGACCUCGACCGGCUUCAAGGCUCACAUUAGCUCUUACAGUGUUUUAUAUAUAUAUAUAUAUAUAAUAAAAAAUGAUUGAGUAGAGUUUACACAGGUUUUCUAAAGAUCUAAAAUUUGUUUCUUAUGUUGGGUGCUGAACUGAAGUAUGUUAUAUAUACUUUAAGGGAGCCAUUCCUAGAGAGAGGGGAGAAUCAUGUUUGUAUAUAACUAGUGGAACUUCCACAGUGCUUGAAUAAAAUAUCUAUUCCAAUCUCCACUUGGUCAAGCAUUCAUACUGACUCUCGCCCUUACACGUUUGGGAUGUUCAAAACUAAACAUCUGGCUAACCGCUAGCUAGUCAGAUGUUUGCAGCAGUUGUUAGAUUAUUGGUAAUGUAUCAUGAUAUGUAACAUUUACUUUGACAAAUUGUGGUUACACGCCAUUAUGAUUUUAAUAAGAUUCCUCUUUGCCGGUAAUUGAAUCAUCAGGUGAUUAUGAAGGAGGUUACAUUCAUAAUUGAGGUUGUAGUUUUGGCCAAGUUGUGUUCAUAUAUAUGAAUUAUCAACUUUGUAUGUUCUAUUUAUCCCAAGUUACCUCCACUCUAACAACAUUCGCAUCAGCUAUUGAUUAUAAAGUUCUAGAUGGUCUAAUAUGUGCAAGUCAUAGUAACCAAAGUGUAGACUAGAGGCCAGAGGGUGUGGGAGUGUGUGUGUGAGUGAGACAGAGCAAGGAGCAGCAAAGUUCCCAAACCUGAAAAACUAGAAACACCUAAAGCAAUAAAGAAAUGAAGGAAUGGGAACGACUGAAUCAUUCUAACUUUUCCUCUAUUCCUAUAAGGCUCCUUUUCUUCUUCUAGUUCUUCUCUUUUUUAAGGGCAGUGAGAGGCAUCUGCUAGAGGCUUUUUUUCCUGUAAUCAGUCCUCUGAUUAGAAGCGCUUUUGUGUUCUUUUGGGGUAAUUCCCCUCUUUGUUUAAGAAUUACUUUUUUCUCGUCUUGGUAAAGAAGAAGAUGAGCAUAGUAUACUUUUCUAGUUGCAUUUUUCACCCCUAGUAAGAGGAUUCAGUUACUAGUGUGCAAGCCUCGAAAUAUUUUGUAACUUUGCUUUUACAAGAAGAAAGUUGAACAUAUCAAAUACUCUCAUCAGCCUACUCAAUGUUUUCGAAUACAUCAUAAUAUCCCAAUCACCACAAGCUAAUGUUAAUUAGCUAAUACUUUCUGAGCUUUACAGUAGAUCAUGAUUUAUCUAACGAAAGAAAGUAAUUUAAUAACAAUAAGGCAGAAUAAAAAAACAAUGCGUAAUGAAAAAUGGAACUCACUACUCAGAGAAGAAUAAGGUGUACCAGAAAAUAAGUUCUUCGAAUUACUGCACAGCACAGCUACAGCGUAGGCUCAAUCCAGAUGGUCGGCUGGAUCCUCAUGUUGGUCUCUGUUAGACAAUACCGAUCAAUUGUAUCAUCAUCAAGAUUGAAAACUGACACAUCAUGAGGUCCUAAUCCAUCUUGUUCUUUCUUUUCAUAAUAAUCAUCAGUUAUAUACACAGCAUUUGGUAUGCAUCCAGGGAACUCUGAAGCCAAUACAGACAUAGAAGUAUUACCACCUAAAAACAAAGCACGUCCCUGUAAAUCAUCCACCUUAAUCCACUCAAAAGUAACAGGAUCCAACUUAAUAACACGAAUUCCACCCUUAUGGUAAUCCACGAAAAGCUCAUAAUCAUCAGUAACUUUAGCAAGUCUACAAACUUUCAACAAGUCUCCUGAUGAUUCCACAAGAAAAAGCUCAACAGUACAAAAAUAAGGAGGAGGUUCCACAUUUGUUAUCUUAGGAACAGAAUCCAUCAAAUCACAAAUAUAUAAUCUACUUAAAGAAUCAAUUGCGUAAAAUUGAUCUUUAAAAUAAAUAACAUCCCUAAUUAAAUGAAUAGGUAAACAAGUCCAAGAUUUAUCACCAGGUUUCAAAAAUGCUAAUUGAAAAUUUGGUGGACCAAGAAUUGCUACAGCUACAUAAUUAUUGGUUGAUGACGGAUUCGCCGAUAAAACAAUCUUACAUACCCUACAAUGUUGAUAAGCCUCAAACUUAUCAUUAGGUGGUAAUUCAGGAAGAUCAAUCUGAUUAUUGAAAUGCAAGAAUGGAUUAAAAAGACUAACAUCACGAUUAUCGCGAAUAGUUGUAACUAACCAUCCAUAUGUAGAACCAACAAUGAUUUUGUUUUGUGGUACUGGUAAUUGGAAAUUGAAAAAAUAAUCAUCGGUGAUGCUGUAUAAACUUCUUGUUUGAUUAUCUGACAAGUUGAAUUCAGUAGUAAUCAUAAGAAAAGGGAGUUGUCUAGGUAUAAGAAGUCGAUUUUCUUUGUAAAUGGAAUGUAAUGGAUGACAAACAGCACCAAAGAAAAUGUAAUCAUAUAUUGUAAUCAAUUUGUUUGAUAUGAGUGAUAGAACAUCGUUUGGUAAUUGUAACCAAUUCACUUCUCUUUGAAUAGAAUCAUCAUCAUCUUCUUCUUUCUUUUCUGGUGGUGGCUUUUGAUCCAUUUCGCAAGAGAGAAAGAUGUUGUUGGUUGUGGGAGAGAAUGAGAAAAGGGUUUGACAUUUCUUCCAAAUCGAUCGAGUUUAGUGUGUAAGUACAAUUCUACCCUCCUUACUUGCAAUUUAAGAAGUUUGGUAGGGAGAACAUGCACCUUAGUACAUUCGGAUGUAGUAUAACUAACUAACAUGCAGGGUAUCAGAUAAACAUAAGGAUUUGGCAAACACAUGAUAGGCACAUAUCACACAGUUGCACUACACUACGGGACUAGUCAAAGCAAGACUAGGCUGACAUGCCACCACCUGAGUCGAGGAUCUCUCUAAACAAGUGGACGGACCAGAUCACAAGUCAGUUGAAACACUAUAAAAAAAGGCAAAGCCCUAAGGUUUAAGGGUAAUUUCCCGAAUAAGUACAACAUUAGGCACAACAUUCCCAAAUAAGCAACAAGUCUAAAGUUUUUUCCAAACAAACACAAAGAUUCUCUUUAAAAUUUUGUUUUUGUCUUUUAGCUAAUUUUUCUUCCUAUAUUACCCUUAGUACUUAAAUAAUACUUUUUGUUUAAUUUUUUUGUUUGAAUGACCGAUGUGACAUGUGAGAAAAUGAUUCUUCUUUAAAUAAGGACCAUUGGAUUUGUAUGAUGAACUGUGACCGUUGGAUGUAGAGUUUAGUUGGGCUAAUAUGUAAGAAAACCGAAAUUAUAUGCUAAUCUGCUACACGUGGCAGAAGUUGUUUAGGUAACAAAGAGGCGGGCUUUUAGUUGGGGAAAACGAAAAUUAGGGAUUUCAAUUUCGCACAGCAAACGUUUCCCUCUCAUCUUCUCCUUCCUCAACUGUCGCCACUCUUCCUCUCAUCUUCUUCUUCCUCAACCGUCGCCACUCUUCCUCUCAUCUUCUUCUUCCCCAACCGUCAUAACCUCAAUUUAUAACCCAAAGUUCUCAAAGUUCUAAUUCGACAAAACAUGAAGGAAAUUAAGAAGAAGCAAUAGCAAACUAGAGAUGAUGAAAUCGAAAAAGGUAGGCGAUUUACUCUCACAGUUAGGUGUUCAACAACUAAAUUUUUUGAACACUUUCAACAUCCAAGUGAUAAAAUUCCACCGAAAGGUUAGAAUCAUUUAGAACUUCGCCCUUCGGUCAAUUUCUCGAUUUCAAUUCCGAACAUGUUCACAUGAUAACAUCCGUUAUCACAGAAAUUGUGAGAUGUAGAGUAGUGACGGCAUGCAUGACUCAGAAGGUAUGUUGUUUGCUACAAAAAAAAUUUCCAUUUUUAUGUAUCUGCUAUAUGAUUCUAUCGUAUCUGCUACUGGCAAGACCUGUUGCUUUACAUAGACAAUCUAUCUGCUACCUACAAACUGAAAUCUUAAAAUGGAGAAGAUGAUUCGUUGGGCUACAAAAGGGCAACUAAAGAACUGAGAAACAUGGAGAAGAUGUUGUCCUAUGUUAUUUAUGCUGCAGACCCAUCGCAGAUUCAUCUUGAUUUGGAAAGGAAGUGGAAGCGUGAGUAUGUAUCCUGUGUUACACAACCAGACUUUUGUACCUGUGGGGCAUUCCUUCUUGCAUUCGUCGAAUGUGUCCUUCGAGGAAUACCACCGGAAUUUGAGGCAGAUCCUUUGCAGAUGCGCUACCGCAUUGCUAGAGACCUAAUUGAUUGUCGAGAGCUACCACCAAAGAGAAAGACCUGAUUUAUGAACCUAUUGACAUGUUUUGUGAAGACUUAUGAACCUAUAUCUUGUUUAUGAACCUAUUUCUUGUUUUGUAUUCUAAAUUUAUUGUAUUCUGAAACUUAUGAUCCUUUUAACUUAUGGUAGACACCUUGUUUAGUAUAUUGGAUUACCCUCUUCUUAACUCUGUUGAACAUGUUAGUACGGAUUCUAAGAUUUUAAAUAACAGAUAGUAGAAUCAGUCUAGUAGAUAGACUGCUCUUAAUAGCAGAUAAUAUGUGAAGUCUAAACUGUAUACAUAGCAAAAGAUAGCAAAAGUGUAUACAUAGCCAAAUAUUCUUCCACCUACUAUGUUGUUUGAUUAAGAGGAGAGAGAUGAGGUCCUUCUUCAAACUGCAUUGGAGUGAAAAGAUCAUAGUCAUCUAUGAAUUCAGUGCAAGUUUUUUUGUUGUGACCUCUCCGUUUACACCUUGAGCAUCUUCUACUCUGGACUGGGACACCUUCAGCUUUACCUCUCUUCCUGACCACUUUAGGUCGACCUGGCAUGCAAACUUUAAGUGGUGGCAAUAUUUUUCUUGUCGGUCGUGCAGUUGGCCAUGACUCCUUUCCAGGAGUGGGAAUCCAUUCUUCCUUGUACGUUUCCAUGUAUGUUUCUUUCAAGAAAAAAACAAUCCUUAUUCUUGACUCUCCAUCCACAUAUCCAACCUCUCCCCCCUCAGUUGUGACCUCCAACAGACCACCAAAUCGAUAAAUUGCAUUGAAAGUAUUCGCUGAAAGUAUCCACAUGUUAAUAAUGUUGAUUAGUAUCACAGUGUUAUAGUAGUUAUUCAAAGUGUUUCAUGCAUUCUAAAAUGUAUCUGUUACAUGCUUCUAUUGUAUCUGCUACUGGCAAGAACUGUUGCUUUACAUAGACAAUCUAUCUGCUACCUACAAACUGAAAUCUUAAAAUCUUUAAAAAUGAAAGUUUGCAUCUUUAAACCAAAUUGCAUCUCCAACAACAAAGCUUGCAUCUAUAACAAACUUAGAAAUCAAAUCAAUUCAACAGCAAAGUUUGCAUCUUGCAUCUUGGCCCGGCCAACUUUAAAAAUCAAUUAAAAUCUUUCAAAAUCUUUCAAAAUCAAAGCUUUCAUCUUCAAAUAUUUCAAAAUCAAACCUUUCAAAAUGAACAAAUACAAACUAACUUAAACAAUACCAAGGGUUACCAAACCAUGAGGAAUUUAAUGCGAAUUUAAUUCGAAAACAGUAUGAAAUUGAAUAGCAAGCCCUCUUAAAUAUCAAUCAUUACAUUAAGGGUUUAAAUGCAUACCAGGUUUGGGUAUUUCGUCGAGAACAUUAACUUUCUUUUUGGUUGUCUUUUGUUUCCCCAUUAAAACAGUACCAAAGUGUCUUUAUGUUGGUGAUGGUACCACGGAAAAACCGAAAUUGUAGGUGAUAAUAACACAACAACCUAACAACUAAGUGAUAGAUUAAAACCUUGAAAUAGAAAAACCUUUUUUAUAUAUUAGCAGAUGUAGAACAACAAAGAAAUCAGUGAAGAAGAAGAAGAAGAAGAAGAAGAAAAACCUUGUUUGUUUGCAAAAGAGAUGGACAGUUGAGAUGAAAAAAGGAGAUCUAAGGGAUAGUGUUUGUUUGCAUGUCAUUAUCAUGUUUAAUGUUGAAGUACUUAAGAGAGAGAAUGAUGGUGAUGUUUAAAAGUUAUGUACUUAAGAGAGAGAAUGUGUAAGAAGGGUAGAAAAGGAAACAAAAAAGUCUUUGUGUUUGUUUGGGAAAAACUUUAGACUUGUUGCUUAUUUGGGAAUGUUGUGCCUAAUGUUGUACUUAUUCGGGAAAUUACCCAAGGUUUAAUGUACACAUUCUCUACACUCUAAACCCCCCCCCCCUUUCUCAUUUACAGUUUCUUCUAGGGGUGGCAAUCAGGUCAGGUCGGGUUAGGUUCAGGUCAGGUCAGUCGGGUUAUCGAGUCUCAACCCCUAAACCUGAACCUGACCUGAUGAAGGUUUUUUCUAAAAAAAUGAAACCUGAAAACCUGAAUGCAUUUUUUUUUAGAAAACAACACUAUACAGUACUGUACAUAACUUUAACAAUAACAGAAACAUGUCAAUCAAAUAUAUUAUACUGAAUACAUUAUACUGAAUACUGAAUAUAUUAUACUGAAUACAUUAUACUCAAUUCAAACUUCAUAAGAUCUCUCAAUCAAAUAUAUUAUACUGAAUACAAAAACAGAAACAGAGUAAACAACCCCGAUUUUGGAAUCCACCAGCCAACAGGAAUCCACCAGGGCAAUCCACCAGCCAACAGGAAUCCACCACAGGGCAAUCCACCAGCCAACAGGAAUCACAUUGGCUCUCUCACGUCCAGGCAUGAUUGCUGCACAAUUUUUCUGAGGACUGCUGAUAAGAACAGAUUCACAGAUUUGAUCCUCAUGAUCAUAUGCAACAGUGACUGAAUAUGAACCAGUUGAGUCUGUGAAUGCAUCACAACUGAAAACUGGUUGUAGAGAAUCCCUGGUUUUGCACACUACCCUGACCUUAGCACCUGCAAGUACAAAUGAUCACAUUUAAUUCUAAUUGAAACUUAUAAAUCAGCCUACUACUAAUAUUAAAUAUACAUCCGUUACGAAUUUACACUGCACAAAGGUUACAUCAGAAGUGCCUAUACAUAUUUGGCCUACAUCACGAUAAGUGGUUUUAUGACACUUUCGAGUAUGUCGUGUGGCAUUCCCCGUUCCUUGACUACUAUCAGCUCUAAGUUUAUAGCCACAUUUUUUACAAGCCGCCAUUACAUACCCACUCUCAUUCACUCCAGGUAAAGUAUUAUAAUGAUCCCACGCUUUAGAUACAAAAGUACGAGUUCGUUUAGUGGAACUUUUACCUGUUGAGGUUUGGUCUUCGGCAUUACCUUCCAUAUCAACAUCUAUGAGAUCGUUUUCCGAAAGAUCCACAACGUCCUCCAUCUGAAAAUU
RNAcentral lists this long non-coding RNA (21731 nucleotides) under Aquilegia coerulea. RNAcentral's name for it is "long non-coding RNA (ACOE_LNC001400)". Lineage: Eukaryota; Viridiplantae; Streptophyta; Magnoliopsida; Ranunculales; Ranunculaceae. The record is from RNAcentral.